AGCGGACUGAGCAGCCGCGUGCGCUUUGGCGUAUGAGGAAAGUCCGAGCUUCACAGGGCAGGAUAACGGCUAACGGCCGCCGGGGGCGACCCUAGGGAAAGUGCAACAGAGAUAUACCGCCGCAAAUGCGGUAAGGGUGGAAAGGCGAGGUAAGAGCUCACCGGCAUAUGGGAGACCAUAUGGCCCUGCAAACCCUAUCCGAAGCAACGCCGACCGAAGCGAUCCAUUGGCCCGAUGGGCUUCAACGGGCGGCUAGAGCUGUAUGGCAACAUGCAGUCGAGAUAGAUGGCUGUUCACGACAGAACUCGGCUUACAGGUCCGCUCU
RNAcentral lists this RNase P RNA (325 nucleotides) under human gut metagenome. Its description in RNAcentral is "Bacterial RNase P class A". It matches the Rfam family "Bacterial RNase P class A". Rfam says of the family: Ribonuclease P (RNase P) is a ubiquitous endoribonuclease, found in archaea, bacteria and eukarya as well as chloroplasts and mitochondria. The record is from RNAcentral.